UACGUAGGGUGCAAGCGUUAAUCGGAAUUACUGGGCGUAAAGCGUGCGCAGGCGGCUAUGCAAGACAGAUGUGAAAUCCCCGGGCUCAACCUGGGAACUGCAUUGUGACUGCAUGGCUAGAGUGCGGCAGAGGGGGAUGGAAUUCCGCGUGUAGCAGUGAAUGCGUAGAUAUGCGGAGGAACACCGAUGGCGAAGGCAAUCCCCUGGGCCUGCACUGACGCUCAUGCACGAAAGCGUGGGGAGCAAACAGG
RNAcentral lists this ribosomal RNA (251 nucleotides) under uncultured bacterium. Its description in RNAcentral is "partial 16S ribosomal RNA". It matches the Rfam family "Bacterial small subunit ribosomal RNA", at positions 524 to 776 of the family's 1533-position model. The record is from RNAcentral.